GAUGAACGCUGGCGGCGUGCUUAACACAUGCAAGUCGAGCGAGAAGUUUUGAACAGAUUCUUCGGAUGAAAUUUAAAAUGGAAAGCGGCGGACGGGUGAGUAACGCGUAGGCAACCUGCCCCAUACAAAGGGAUAGCAUUUGGAAACGAAUAUUAAUACUUUAUGAAACUUAACUAGUGCAUGCUAGGUAGGUCAAAGAUUUAUCGGUAUGGGAUGGGCCUGCGUCUGAUUAGCUAGUUGGUGAGGUAACGGCUCACCAAGGCGACGAUCAGUAGCCGACCUGAGAGGGUGAACGGCCACAUUGGAACUGAGACACGGUCCAAACUCCUACGGGAGGCAGCAGUGGGGAAUAUUGCACAAUGGGGGAAACCCUGAUGCAGCAACGCCGCGUGAACGAUGAAGGCCUUUGGGUCGUAAAGUUCUGUUCUAGGUGAUGAAAACUGACAGUAACCUAGGAGAAAGCCCCGGCUAACUCCGUG
Molecule: ribosomal RNA, 479 nt
Filed under: uncultured bacterium
Lineage: Bacteria
Description: partial 16S ribosomal RNA
Rfam family: Bacterial small subunit ribosomal RNA
Source: RNAcentral